Non-coding RNA from Pseudonaja textilis, 1377 nucleotides. The record is from RefSeq and is a predicted model, not a curated record. NCBI's taxonomy places the organism in Eukaryota, Metazoa, Chordata, Lepidosauria, Squamata, Elapidae.
AUAGAAGCAAGGAGUCAGUGUCAGCCUAAACAGCUGUCAGCAAGUAAAUCCAUCUAGUACAAAUAAAAAGAUUACAGACUUGAGGCUUCUUCCAAAAACGCAUAGUUAACAGUUUUUGUCUUUGGCAGACUCCAACUCAAUUGCAAAGAAAAAGUACACAAUGGAUUGUUUACUUUUGCAGUUGGCUUACUGCCUUAAAGAGAAAUAUUGAACAAAUGGAGACCUUUGAAGUUCCCAAAAGCAAAUACUUUUAAAACGGAAACAAACCUAUCAAGCAAGUAAUUUUUGUCUUGAAUAGUUUUUAAUCUCAUAUAUUUAACCCUACUUUUGACCUAAUUUCUCCCAUUAUGGUCAGAUCACUCCCUGAUGAGUAUCCAGUUGUCUGGUACCACCCCACUCCAUAAGGAGGCUGCACAUAUUACAUUGGCCUGCUUCAGAUGACUGAUGGACCUGACUGGGUUCCAGAGGGAAUUUGGGGUUCUGGAAAAUUUGGUACAUGGUCCAGCCGAAGCCUUCCUGCCUGCUGGAAUGAGAAAAUGGCUGUGGCUAUGGACCAGAUUACACCCAAGUAGCCUCUACAUUCACGACUCUCCGAAUUCUCACUAGAUUUAUGGUUGAACUAAAGAGAGAUGAAGAGUACUGCUGCAAAUGAUAAAGAGUGAGGAUGAUUAAACAUGAGCUAGAGCUGCUAUUAGAGACUCUCUUGUAUUAAAGAUAGCAAAAAGUAAUUAUUUUUCUGCUAUUAUUACAUCUACAGAUAGUCCUUCCGUGGCCCUGUUCAAGUCACUGUGAGAAAUAUGCUGCAUAUCUAGUGAAUAAAGUUACUUGGAUAUACUGUGUUGAGUUCCAGCCUUGGAGCAGGGCCGUUGGGAGUUAUGGGGAACUGGUUCUUGCAUAGUAAUUUGGGAAGAGUUUCAUCCUGUCAAGCCUGAGAAAGAGGACAGAGUUCUUAUAACUGUUUGAUCACUUCUGUGUUAGAUCCAUACCCUUCUUGACUGGUCGGGAGACAGUGGAGGAUGGUGGGAGGGGGGGGGGGGUGGGGGCUGGUAUACUGUGGUCCAUGGGGUUGCAAGGAUUUGGACACGAUUUGGCAACUGAACAACAAAACAAACUCGACACAUGCAAGAUCACUAUGUGACCUGCAGUGGCUCACAGGUUACCCAAGGGACCAUCUUCCAGUGUUUCUACCUGUCCAAUACAGUCUGGAUGGGCAUGCUCUGAGUCCCUAAGUGAAGAAAUGUCUGUUUGUGGGAUCUACAGUUUGUACCUUUCUGCAAUACCACUUGCCCUCUGGGACAUUCUCUCUUCAUGUAUUAGGAUGGUCUUGAGAAUCUGUUGGCCUUUGAAGAACUGGUUAUGUGUACUGGCGAGAGGGCC